RNAcentral lists this ribosomal RNA (481 nucleotides) under uncultured bacterium. Its description in RNAcentral is "SSU rRNA". It matches the Rfam family "Bacterial small subunit ribosomal RNA", at positions 26 to 518 of the family's 1533-position model. The record is from RNAcentral.
AGGACGAACGCUGGCGGCGUGCUUAACACAUGCAAGUCGAGCGAGAUUCAACCAGUGGCAACACUGGGGAAGAUCGAGCGGCGAACGGGUGAGUAACACGUGAGCAACCUGCCCCGAAGACUGGGAUAACACCGGGAAACCGGUGCUAAUACCGGAUACCCCCACCAGGCCGCAUGACCAGGUGAGGAAAGGAAUUUCGCUUCGGGAGGGGCUCGCGGGCUAUCAGCUUGUUGGUGGGGUAACGGCCUACCAAGGCGACGACGGCUAGCUGGUCUGAGAGGACGACCAGCCACACUGGGACUGAGACACGGCCCAGACUCCUACGGGAGGCAGCAGUGGGGAAUCUUGCGCAAUGGGCGAAAGCCUGACGCAGCAACGCCGCGUGGGGGAUGAAGGCCUUCGGGUCGUAAACCCCUUUCAGCAGGGACGAAACUGACGGUACCUGCAGAAGAAGCCCGGCCAACUACGUGCCAGCAGCCGC